This 445-nucleotide ribosomal RNA is filed under the name uncultured bacterium. RNAcentral describes it as "bacterial SSU rRNA". It matches the Rfam family "Bacterial small subunit ribosomal RNA", at positions 958 to 1401 of the family's 1533-position model. The record is from RNAcentral.
AACGCGAAGAACCUUACCAGGAUUUGACAUGCUCUCUAUGGAUUGCUGAAAGGCGAUCCUUCAGUUCGGCUGGGAGAUGCACAGGUGCUGCAUGGCUGUCGUCAGCUCGUGUCGUGAGAUGUUGGGUUAAGUCCCGCAACGAGCGCAACCCUCGUCCUCUGUUGCUAACAGGUAAUGCUGAGAACUCUGAGGAAACUGCCGGUGAUAAGCCGGAGGAAGGUGGGGAUGACGUCAAGUCCUCAUGGCCCUUACAUCCUGGGCUACACACGUGUUACAAUGGCGGUGACAAUGAGCUGCUAGCCCGCAAGGGUAUGCGAAUCUCAAAAAGCCGCCUCAGUUUGGAUUGUACUCUGCAACUCGAGUACAUGAAAUUGGAAUCGCUAGUAAUCGUAGAUCAGCACGCUACGGUGAAUACGUUCCCGGGCCUUGUACACACCGCUACAGU